AUGUACUCGCUCAGGCUCGCUACCAGCGGCAGCACAGCACUCGGCUUCACGCUCGGCCGGUUCGGCGGGAAGACAGGCGGCGGCGCCGCAGCAGGAGGACUAGCGGCACCCGCAGCCGCGGCGCACGCAGGGAGGAGGAGCGUCUCCGCGACGUCGAACGCCGCCGCGCCGGUGCCGGGCGACCAGGGCGUCGGCAUGGACCCGAGCAAGCAGCAGCAGCAGCACAAGCCCCACGCGCCGGCGGGGGAGCAGCAGGGCGACGACGUGCACAAGACCACUACUGCUCACGGAGACGUGAUGACCCACUCGUUCGGCGAGGGGUACUCGACGAGGUCCGACGAGGAGGGGUUCGGAGGGGUCUACGGCCAGAACGACCCGGUGCUCAACCCUGGGACCGAAGUGCACCCCGACCGUCCUGAGUAUGACAAGUCGCAGGGAUCGGAGGUGAAGGAGAAGGAGAAGGCGCGCCAUCUCAAGAACGACAAGCACGCGACCUGA
RNAcentral lists this ribosomal RNA (498 nucleotides) under Triticum aestivum (bread wheat). RNAcentral's name for it is "partial small subunit ribosomal RNA". The record is from RNAcentral. Lineage: Eukaryota; Viridiplantae; Streptophyta; Magnoliopsida; Poales; Poaceae.